Non-coding RNA from Nomia melanderi (Alkali bee), 988 nucleotides. Lineage: Eukaryota; Metazoa; Arthropoda; Insecta; Hymenoptera; Halictidae. The record is from RefSeq and is a predicted model, not a curated record.
GUACGAGUUUUGCUGCCUUUAAAUGCACUCCAUCGGUGUGAGGCGACAAUGAUGUCAUUCGCGGCAAAUCUUCAAUUUCAAACAUAUUGUCUAUUUAAAUUUUAAAUCUCAAGAUAUGCAUUAAUUGAACGUUAGAGAAUAUUAACUGCAGGCAGUAGUGAAAACUGACCGAAUACUAAAUUCCGGUAACUGUAUUCUGGUACUAAGUCUCUCACCUGCUGUGUCAGCCUUUGAAGCAGAAAGUCACAGGGGCAAGGGGACUCUUCCACUCAGGAUGCUUGCGUGAAUAGUUAUAGAACAACAGUUGAUGUUAUUGGCCGAGCCGCGCGACGAAGAAAGCAGACGGAACAAAACGCGAUGGAGUCAGAUGCAACGAACAUUAACGUUGAAUUUCGUUUUUACGCAGCGGCAGUUCUUUAUGUUUACCGAAUCCCGAGGAUGCGGAAAGUCGGCGGUUAUUAGCUUUUAGGACUGACUUAGAACCUGAGAGGCACAUAGUAGAUACAUAUGUACAUACCUGGGGCACAUGGUAGAAAAGGAAUCUACGAGUGGAUUAAACAAAGUGAAUAGGCAAAAACAAUACAUAAAAUAAGAACUUUUUAUUUUUAUAUACAAACAUUAAAUUCUUCUAUUUGCAUUCAAUAUACGAGCAAAUUAUUAUCACUGAAUAUAUUGAUAAAAAUAGAAAAAACAAGUACGUAUAAUAGAUGAAAGUAAAAAUAUUAUUUUACUAUUUUCUCCUAGAUUACAUGAAUUGAAAAAAUAGUUUUAUUUGUUUUAUAAAUUUAUUGUCUUAAAAGCAGUAGUAUUACACCGAUAAUAAGUAUUUAUAUACGUGUUUUAUUUCUUUCGCUUCAUUAUUAUAGCUACCGUAUAUGUUAGCUUUUUACGAAUGUAAAUAUAAAUAUUUAUUUCCUUCAUUACGUUGUCGAAAUGUUGGUAUGUAUUUACCUGGAACGGCACAGUUGUAUACGAUAUUGGAUUAGUA